AUAACCCAGAUGACGAUGACAUGUCGCUAGAUGUGUCAUCGCAGUAACUGCUAACAGUAAGUUCGCAUGAGCCAAUCAAAUUAAGUGUAAAUGGUUGCCAGCUGGUGUUUAUAUUAUAUGCCGAAUUUACCAAGAGACUUUCAACAAUAAUAAAAGAUUUAAAGUUCCUCAUAUUUUGGACGCGUGCCCACUAUUUCACUUGCAAUGAUUCGAAUGGUAAAUUUCCCAAAUGGAGUUCGGCGUAGCGAUCGGUUUCGAAGAGGAAAAACGUAUUUUGCUGGUUGAAAUAAGAGGAAAUAUUAGGUGUAGGGCACCGGAAGUGUUACUCAACUAGAUUAUGAAAUACGACUUUUAUUUAACGGCAUCAUUAGUGUUUUAGCUAGCUAGCCAACUAGCUAGGGGAAGGACAACGCGGCUGCGGACCAGAGUGGGCGUCCCGGCCCUCUCGUUCUCCACCUCCUCCCCUUUCUCCGUGGGGGCCUGCUGGAGCCCACUCCUCAGCCGCUGGUGGAGGCCGUACUCGAUCAUCUCGCUGUAACACUGCAGCACCACCUGGGAAGCAAGACAGAGAAGGUCAGUUUGGCACAGCUCUGCCAGCACUUCACUCAUGAGAGCCAGCUGACUGGGCCCCUUGUCGCCCAGACCUCGCAGUGCACAGUUCAGGGAUGCCGCGGCGACAAGUGACGGCGGUGCUCCCAAGAACCGGGAGUCGCAGACACACAUGGCGGCCAGCGUGUCGCUGUGCCGCCGCAGGGUGGACAGCCGCUCCUCGGACUCGCCGCCCUCCCAGACGCCGCUCUGCUCCACGGAGGCAAGAAAGUGUGGCAGGAAGUCCUGAGGGGUCACCGCCGCUGUGUCCCACCGCAGGGUGGCGAGGAUGACGCGCUCCAUGUCCUGAUGAUUGGAAAAGGGGAUUUGAAGAAUUUUGUCAGACAUUUGAAGAAGUUAUUUUUGUGAAGUAGGAAGUUGAAAUGAAAAAAAUAGAUAUAAUGUGACUAAAAUCUAGGUUUAACUGUGGUUUUUAUUCGCCACACUCUGUGUCCUUGCAGUAUCUAAGAUAGUGAUGGUGUUAGAGGCCCAUAGUCAGAAAUGACAUCACAAGAAAGUCAUGCAGGGUCAAUUUGUUGUGGUCGUUGAGGGCGUCCAGACUGAGCUAUCUCUGCUCAUCCACCACUCCAGCCUCAUAAGAUGGACCAUGUGUUUCACUCACCCUCAGGUUGGAAGGCUGGAAGCUGUACUCGGCUGCAGCGCAGAGAGUGUCGGCGGUGACGUUGUCGCACUCUGUGAGCUUGGAGGCUAUGAGGAUGCAGCCGGCGGCCAAGCAGUACGGUGAGACGGGCACAGACAGGGAGGCCGACAGGAACCGGUCCAGCAGGGAGACGGACAGAGGGAACACUGCCUCGUCACAGCCGCACUCACAGCACACCUGGAGAGAGAGAGAGGACAGAGGACGCUGGUGUCACAGCUGCAGGGAUGACACAAUUCACCCAGCACCAUGAGUGGGGAGGGUAUUGAAAAAAACAUGCUGGAGCAUGAGAGAGUUUCAUACCUCCAGGGCCCACUUGGCGAGCUCCUCCCUGCGCUCUGGGUCCCGCUGGAUGAGGGCGACGUAGAGCGUGGAGGGGAUGUACCUCUCCUCCACGUGAAGCAGCCUCUGGAUCACGCGAUGCCCCGACACGGUGGGGUCCCAGGCGGCUCGCACCUGAGACGGGCCCCCGGUGUGGCCCUGGGCUGGAGCCUCGGCCUGGCCCCGCUCCCGACUCUGCUCGUCCUCCACCUCCUCGCACCACAGAGACACAGACAUGCCUCUGUCCAUCUGCACGGCCUGAUGGUGUCAAAUAUGAACUUCUUUUAUGUCCAAAUGGGAAGGAAACACGGCGGCUACUGUCCCUCUGUCACCUGAGCUGCAUGUGCAGGUAAACGUGGAAGAGUGGAAGUCCCUGCGAAUCAGAACUUCCCUUCUCCCUUCCUGAAACUUGGACUUUGCCUUCCUGCGGUGAUCUGCCGAAUCUCACCCCUCAGCAGACUCCGCCGAGUUUUAUACCGAGCGGGGAGAGAGAGAGGCAGAGGGAGUGGCCGAGAGGGAAGGGAAAAGACCGAGGCCGAGAGGGGCGGGGGACCCUCGUGAGUGACAUAAAAUAAUAAGAAGACAACAAUACGGUCUUCGCAACAAUCGCUCCAACAGGUGGGGAGAGGGAGAGGGAAGGGGAGCGAGGGGAAAGAGGGAGGCAGGGGAGGAGGAGAGAGAGGAGCAGACAAGAGAGGGAGUGGCCCGCAGGGACAGAGCAACAGCUUGUCCCCGACAGUGAAAGAGAGAAGAGGGGAAAAGAAAAGAGGAGGUUAGAGGCAGAGAGAGAGAGAGGGAGAGAAAAGGUCAUCUCCAGACUCUGACAAUGGGAAUGGAUGACAAAGGGAUGAGGGUGUUUGUUUACAACGUGCGGCGCGCAGGAAACACACAUACAGGAGAGAUGUUGAAUCAUAGCUUCUUUUGGAUAUAGUAAAUAUCCUAAGUGUUCUGAUACUGACAAGGAUUUAAAGCACAAGGCGAAGUUGAAGAGUUGUAAGAUGAGAAAAUAUAUACAUAUUCCUGUAAAAGAAAAUAUGAAUUUCUCAAAUGUUUGCAUUUGGAGCUAUUGAGCUAUUGGACAGUUCUACCUCUUCAGGGCCAACUUAGCAAAAUGAAACUGUAAAAGUACAACAAAGCUGAUAUGGUUGGUGAAUAUGAGACAUUUUUCAGCAGUUGUUCUUAUAAUAGAUCAAUUGUCAAAAUCAUUUUUCUAGCAAGAGGGACCAAUGUGUGCAGAUCUUUUUUUUUUUUUUUACCACUUGUGGCUCUUGGAAAUAAUAUUUGUCAUCCCCCGCCCCCCCACAUUUUCCUCACUUUUCAAAUAACCACACAAACCAACUUCAUUAAAAAACUGCUGCACACUACAACACCACACAAAGGUGCGAGAUGCAGAACGCCCCCCUCCCCCCCCAAAAAAAAAUGAAAACAAAAAAAUAACAAAUAACUCUCUACUCUUCAGUUUGUCUUCAACCAACUUGUGAUUAAAGGAUUCGAAACAGAUUUUGGUUUGUUUCAAGGGAUCACAAGCCAGAAAGUUUGGAUACUACUUGUCUUAACUCUCGUCAAAGACUUCUUCAUCCUGACAGAAUUUUUUUUAGAUGGAAACGGUAAAUAUUAUUGCAUUAAACUUAGAUUUCUUUUCUCAGUGUGUUCAUGCAAAGUUCUGGCUCUGAGCCUCUCUCUCCCUUUUUUUUUUUUUUUUUU
Molecule: long non-coding RNA, 3271 nt
Organism: Scophthalmus maximus (turbot)
Lineage: Eukaryota; Metazoa; Chordata; Actinopteri; Pleuronectiformes; Scophthalmidae
Exons: 3
Source: RefSeq, a predicted model, not a curated record